UUUAAAACAGUAGCACACUUUGUAUGGGAGAGUGUGAGGACUUGUGUUUGUCAUCUGUUCUCUUUACAGCUGAAACUCAUCAGCUUCAGUGGGUGUCCCACAGAGGGGAAGGAAACAAGGCAGGGAGGUGCAUGAUGGGACGUUUUUGUUUUUAUUAAAUAAGGACGCAGGUCAUUUCAAACCUGUCUUUAAACACAUGUACAUCUUAUGCAACCGGUUUGCAGAUCCAGUUGCUUUCUGUGUCCUUCCCCACACUGCAUAGUAUCAUUCAUCAGUAGUAGUUCAGGUGGUUUGUAGCUCUGUUGAGGUCGGUGAUCCAUAACAGGAAGUAUUCCUUGUUCUUUUUCUGUGGCAGUAAAAUCAUCGUCUCCUGGUGAAACAGUGAAGGGCGGGACUAUUUAGUAACGUUUACAGGACAUGCUGCUGCUUAUUGUUGGUCACAUAUUAAUGUCAGCACUUGACACAUUUACUACACAUAAACGAAUUCUAAACAUAAAACUUUAUAUUCAAUAUAGCUGAGGUGUUAUUAACUAACUAUUUGACUGUUGUAGAUCAGAGCCCAGGAAAAAGCCUGGCUAGAAAGAAGAAGAAAAGAGGAAACAUGAAGGCGGUGGAGAAAGAAACUGAUGGAGUUCCUGACCUCUGCUCCACCCAAAACACUGCUGACCCCCGCAGUGGGGAUUGGAGUUCAGACAUGGAUGAUCAGAGCCCAGGAGAAAACCUGCUGAAAGGCUCCCACUGAAGAAAAGAGGAGAAAAGGUGGUGAAAGAAAUGGGCGCACCCGACGUGCAGAUGAAGAGGCCAUGGACUGAAGAAGAGAAGACUGUUGUCAGAAAACUACCAUCACUGCUGGUGACUCCUUGCUGACUCUGAAGUCAUCUCUUCUUAGCCUCUCUCUCUCUCACACUCUGUUUUAGCGCUUGCUCCUAAAACAACAUGGCAUCCUGACAGGACGGGGCGGGAAUAUUGAGCAAGCCAGCGUGGGAGGCACGUGGCCGGACUCCUCCCACCACAUCCACCUGCUGGAGCUUGUUGCUGUCGACAAGG
Molecule: long non-coding RNA, 1047 nt
Organism: Anoplopoma fimbria (sablefish)
Lineage: Eukaryota; Metazoa; Chordata; Actinopteri; Perciformes; Anoplopomatidae
Exons: 6
Source: RefSeq, a predicted model, not a curated record